UUCGCAAUGCCCGAAAGGGUGACGAAGCGACGCCGCGUGUGGGAAGAAGGCCUUCGGGUUGUAAACCACUGUCGGGAGUUAAGAAAUGCAAGGAUAUGAAUAGUGUCUUUGCUUGACUAAGGCUCCGGAGGAAGCCACGGCUAACUCUGUGCCAGCAGCCGCGGUAAUACAGAGGCGGCAAGCGUUGUUCGGAAUUAUUGGGCGUAAAGAGCACGUAGGCGGCUAUGUAAGUCGGUUGUGAAAGCCUUCCGCUCAACGGGAGAACAGCAUCCGAUACUACAUGGCUUGAGUGCGGGAGGGGAGAGUGGAACUUCUGGUGGAGCGGUGAAAUGCGUAGAUAUCAGAAGGAACGCCGGCGGCGAAAGCGGCUCUCUGGCCCAUAACUGACGCUGAGUGUGCGAAAGCUAGGGGAGCAAACGGGAUUAGAUACCCCGGUAGUCCUAGCCGUAAAC
Molecule: ribosomal RNA, 452 nt
Filed under: uncultured bacterium
Lineage: Bacteria
Description: bacterial SSU rRNA
Rfam family: Bacterial small subunit ribosomal RNA
Source: RNAcentral